Molecule: unclassified non-coding RNA, 376 nt
Filed under: soil metagenome
Description: partial contains 5.8S ribosomal RNA, internal transcribed spacer 2, and large subunit ribosomal RNA
Rfam family: 5.8S ribosomal RNA (bases 1-120)
Source: RNAcentral
GAUGAAGAACGCAGCGAAAUGCGAUAAGUAAUGUGAAUUGCAGAAUUCAGUGAAUCAUCGAAUCUUUGAACGCAUCUUGCGCUCCUUGGUAUUCUGAGGAGCAUGCCUGUUUGAGUGUCAUUAAAUUCUCAACUACACUGACUUUGAAUUGGUGUGGCUUGGAUUUGGGGGGAAAAUUGUUGUGGGCUUUUUGUAUAGUCUGCUCCCCUGAAAUUGAUUAGCGGUACCUUUGUGGAACUGUCUACAGGUGUGAUAAUUAUCUACAUCUUAGACAUCUGCUGGAAUGCUGCUCUCUAAACCUUACUUGUAUUGACAAUCUUGACCUCAAAUCAGGUAGGAGUACCCGCUGAACUUAAGAAUAUCAAUAAGCGGAGGA